RNA transcript from Dreissena polymorpha, 1332 nucleotides. RefSeq lists it as uncharacterized. Lineage: Eukaryota; Metazoa; Mollusca; Bivalvia; Myida; Dreissenidae. The record is from RefSeq and is a predicted model, not a curated record. The transcript has 6 exons.
AGUUUACAUUGCGAUGUCUGGUGAUGAAAAUACAGGUUAGCGAAGUAAAGUUGUGUAAGAUUAAUUUGUUAGUCAAUAUGCCACUGAAACGAAAGACGAACAAAAGAAGACAAAUAAAGUACUUCUUAGGGAAAUUGCCGAUUUGUGCAAACGAGAAGACAGAAAGACACCUGAGGUUAUUUUACUUCUUGGAAGCACCGGUGUAGGAAAAAGUUCGAUGGUUAACACAAUCAUCAAGGCCUUGACCGGAAAAUAUUUCUACAAAGCUAAGUCUGGCCGAGGACGUGAAGGCUCAGUUACGCUUACGUUUGAUUGGUAUGUGAGAACGAUGUUUAACCAGGUUUGACCACUGUGGUAUUGCGGAGUGUGAUUUACAGAGUUUACAACAAGAGGUCAUUGGAGAUUGCUGGCAACAGUUACCAAACAUUAUUGACGCGGAUGGAAUGGGAUUCCAGGAUUCACAAGAUAUUCAAGAAAUAUUGGAGGUGGUUUUGGGAGGAUUCAUUCCACCUGAAACAUCUAUAACGCAUUUACAAAAGCUUUAGAGCGAUAACUAUGUUGGGUGUUUGAGAGAAAUAUACAUCAAUUGUCGCAAGGAAUGGAAGGUUUCGAAAGUCGUGUUUGUCGCAACUUGCAGUCAAAUGCUUCCAACUGGUUUGGUAGAUGUUAUUAAAAGAAUAUUGAAAACGUUUGAUCCCAAGACUGGGUAUCUACAAUACGAUGCUGACGUAUUCAUAGUCAUCACCAAAUGUGAUUUGGUUCAGGGAAUGAAGAGAUUCCCGAAAGCAGUACCUGAAGAAAACGCGACAGAAAUAAUAACAGCGGCUCAGUUCGAGAAAACAGAAGAAAAGGUUGCCAAUGUGUUUAAUAUCACAGGAGUUCAAAAACACACCAGUAUUCACUGGAUGAGCUACGUCGGUGAUAGUGAGGAUGAUCCUUACAUUGACAAUAUCGCCCUGGAGUUUAUCAAGAAGAUGAUGCAACCAAAGCGACAGAAGAAUCAAAUUAAACUUGAUACAAUGCCAUUGAUAAUGAGAUUAAAACUAAAGCUGAAAAAGUUUAAGACGCAUAUUUAUGAAAUGUGUGCAUUGAUUGUUUGCAUAAUUGCAGUCGUUUAUGUCGUCAAGGCUAUAUGUACUCCAUUGAAGAUUUAAGCUCAAGCGUCUGACGAACUUUGAAAAGGACUUCAUUCACCUUCAGAGACAUGUUUGUUGUUGAUUCAAAGUGCCUGAAUGUAUACACAUUAUCGAAAUAGUUAACAUAAGAUAACAUAUACAUUCUAUUACUUACAAAAUAUCCAAAAAGUUAACAUAUGAUAACAUAUACAUUAUA